RNAcentral lists this long non-coding RNA (214 nucleotides) under Elaeis guineensis (African oil palm). RNAcentral's name for it is "long non-coding RNA (EGUI_LNC063662)". The record is from RNAcentral. Lineage: Eukaryota; Viridiplantae; Streptophyta; Magnoliopsida; Arecales; Arecaceae.
ACAUCAGUUCUUGUCUAUGUAAAUUAUCAUUAUAAUCUGUCAACAAACCUAACAUUUUUUCAUGUAAAUAAGGAGUAAGACCACCCAAGUUAGCUUCUUGCUUUUGUAAUUCAUAAAUCUACUGAUUUAAUUGCUUCCCUUUACUAAAUAAAUCAUCUAGCCUUCUUUUCCAAUUUUGAACAGCGGUACUCAUGUUUUGCAACAACCAAGACAA